This 252-nucleotide ribosomal RNA is filed under the name uncultured bacterium. RNAcentral's name for it is "partial 16S ribosomal RNA". It matches the Rfam family "Bacterial small subunit ribosomal RNA", at positions 524 to 776 of the family's 1533-position model. The record is from RNAcentral.
UACGUAGGCAGCGAGCGUUGUUCGAAGUUACUGGGCGUAAAGAGUGCGUAGGCGGUUUUCUAAGUUUGGUGUGAAAUCUCCCGCUUAACUGGGAGGGUGCGCCGAAGACUGGAAGGCUUGAGUAUGGGAGAGGUAAGCGGAAUUCCUGGUGUAGCGGUGAAAUGCGUAGAUAUCAGGAGGAACACCUGUGGCGAAAGCGGCUCACUGGACCAUAACUGACGCUGAUGCACGAAAGCUAGGGGAGCAAACAGG